CACUCUAGUAAGAUUAUGGAGCCUUUGUUGCCUCGAAGGAUCUCAUCCUCUGUGGUGGUACUCCAAAAACAAUGGGCCUUGGUUUCUUCUUCACCCUGCUUCCUGUUCGAACUCAGUUUCUUCAAGGUCAGCCAGUCAUUGGUCUCUGAGCUCUGAAGUGUCCCCUCUGCUGAAAGGGGGGGGGUCCCAAGAUUCGAGUUUUGCUUCUUAUUUUUCAGCCUUGUGGUACAUUCCCGUGACACAGCGAAAUUAAGUCUUUUUCAUGUGGGCUGUAUGGGCCUUUUCUCACAGCUUGGGUUUGGGGACGGACACAACGAAAAGGACCAGAGGGGACACGUGUCAGACCACGGUGCGCACAGGGUGUGGACAGCUGCCCUCGCUCUUCCCUUCCUGGUUUCUGCAGAGAAGUGGCCUCUCUGUGACAUGGCAGAGAUUGCUAGGGGAAGACGGGAAAUAGCCCUGCUUCUCCCCAGGGUGCUGGGUGAAUGACUGGAGGCGACAGACCUGUGGGAGAUGAAGGAAACCUAGAAAAUCCUGUGCCUGUGCCCUCGGUGGCCUCCCUCUCAGCACCUCUGAAACACGGCAGCCUAAGGAGUAAGGUCCGUCACUGGCAAGGACUGCGCUGAGAGUGGGUAGAACCUUCCAGAAGGCUGGAGUGGGCAGACGGGGCGGAGAGCAGAAAACAUGGACAGUAAGACACAGGGGAAGAGCUGGCUUUUAGUUUCAUCAUCGUGCCGCCAACCAAGGAAUGUUCCUCCUUUGUCGCCUCUAAUCAAGUCAGUUGAGCUAAACUGAUUGGACCACCCACUACUGGGUCACACACUUGGUUGGAAGACCGGCCCCCAAUCCCGUGAUGCUUGAAGGUUUUCCAGGGUCCCAGUCCUGUCUUCAACUCCUCGUAAUUGGGGAAGAAAAUGUCAUUGACUGACUGGCAAAGAUACCUUUGAGAGAAUAAAAUCUUUUUCCAUCUCGA
Molecule: long non-coding RNA, 973 nt
Organism: Felis catus (domestic cat)
Lineage: Eukaryota; Metazoa; Chordata; Mammalia; Carnivora; Felidae
Exons: 3
Source: RefSeq, a predicted model, not a curated record